This 356-nucleotide unclassified non-coding RNA is filed under the name uncultured fungus. RNAcentral's name for it is "partial contains 5.8S ribosomal RNA and internal transcribed spacer 2". The stretch from base 2 to 133 matches the Rfam family "5.8S ribosomal RNA", at positions 23 to 154 of the family's 154-position model. Lineage: Eukaryota; Fungi. The record is from RNAcentral.
AGGCUCUGGCAUCGAUGAAGAACGCAGCGAAAUGCGAUAGGUACUGUGAAUUGCAGAACCCAGUGAAUCAUCGAAUCUUUGAACGCACAUAGCGCCCGCUGGCACUCCAGCGGGCAUGCCUGUCCGAGCGUCAUACGCACCCUCUCAGGCUCCUCGUGAGCCUGGCGUUGGAGCGCAUCUCGGCCUUCAGUGGCGGGAUGGCUCUUAAAUCCAGUGGCGGACCACCUGGACGACCCGGGCGUAGUAGCACCUACGUCGCCCUGGGGCGGACUGGAGGUCCUGCCGUAAAACCUGCCACGGGCCUAGCCCCUCUGGCAUCUAGCACUGGCCUCGGAUCAGGUAGGGAUACCCGCUGA